RNAcentral lists this ribosomal RNA (789 nucleotides) under uncultured archaeon. RNAcentral describes it as "bacterial SSU rRNA". It matches the Rfam family "Archaeal small subunit ribosomal RNA", at positions 85 to 879 of the family's 1478-position model. The record is from RNAcentral.
ACGGCUCAGUAACACGUGGAUAACCUGCCCUAAGGUGGAGGAUAACCCCGGGAAACUGGGGAUAAUACUCCAUAGGUUAAAGGUACGGGAAUGUUCUUUAACCGAAAGUUCCGGCGCCUCAGGAUGGAUCUGCGGCCGAUUAGGUUGUUGUUGGGGUAGUGGCCCAACAAGCCUGUAAUCGGUACGGGUUGUGGGAGCAAGAGCCCGGAGAUGGAAUCUGAGACACGAUUCCAGGCCCUACGGGGCGCAGCAGGCGCGAAAACUUUACAAUGCAGGAAACUGUGAUAAGGGAACCCCGAGUGCCCGUAUAUGCGGGCUGUCCGGAUGUUUAAAACGCAUCCGAAGGAAGGGCCGGGCAAGACCGGUGCCAGCCGCCGCGGUAAUACCGGCGGCUCGAGUGGUGGCCACUUUUAUUGGGCUUAAAGCGUUCGUAGCUUGAAUAAUAAGUCUCUUGGGAAAUCUGCAGGCUUAACCUGCAGGCGUUUAAGAGAAACUGUUGUUCUAGGAACCGGAAGAGGUGAGAGGUACUCCGGGGGUAGGAGUGAAAUCCUGUAAUCCCCGGGGGACCACCGAUGGCGAAGGCAUCUCACCAGGACGGCUUCGACAGUGAGGAACGAAAGCUGGGGGAGCGAACCGGAUUAGAUACCCGGGUAGUCCCAGCCGUAAACGAUGUGCGUUAGGUGUGCCGGUGACCACGAGUCACUGGGGGUGCCGAAGGGAAACCGUGAAACGUACCGCCUGGGAAGUACGGUCGCAAGGCUGAACUUAAAGGAAUUGGCGGGGGAGCAC